Molecule: regulatory RNA element, 40 nt
Rfam family: Ribosomal protein L19 leader
About the family: This family is a putative r-protein leader autoregulatory structure found in B. subtilis and other low-GC Gram-positive bacteria. It is located in the 5' untranslated regions of mRNAs encoding ribosomal protein L19 (rplS).
Source: Rfam
ACGAUGUUCCGCUGCAUGGAUAGAUUUGUAUGAGCAUCUG